Molecule: ribosomal RNA, 628 nt
Filed under: uncultured bacterium
Lineage: Bacteria
Description: bacterial SSU rRNA
Rfam family: Bacterial small subunit ribosomal RNA
Source: RNAcentral
UGGGACUCUUGAAGUCUUAGUGGCGCAGCUAACGCACUAAGUAGACCGCCUGGGGAGUACGGCCGCAAGGUUAAAACUCAAAUGAAUUGACGGGGGCCCGCACAAGCGGUGGAGCAUGUGGUUUAAUUCGACGCAACGCGAAGAACCUUACCUGGCCUUGACAUGCAGAGAACUUUCCAGAGAUGGAUUGGUGCCUUCGGGAACUCUGACACAGGUGCUGCAUGGCCGUCGUCAGCUCGUGUCGUGAGAUGUUGGGUUAAGUCCCGUAACGAGCGCAACCCCUAUCCCUAGUUGCUAGCAGUUCGGCUGAGAACUCUAGGGAGACUGCCGGUGACAAACCGGAGGAAGGUGGGGAUGACGUCAGGUCAUCAUGGCCCUUACGGCCAGGGCUACACACGUGCUACAAUGGUGCGUACAGAGGGCUGCAAACCCGCGAGGGGGAGCUAAUCUCACAAAACGCAUCGUAGUCCGGAUCGGAGUCUGCAACUCGACUCCGUGAAGUCGGAAUCGCUAGUAAUCGCGAAUCAGAAUGUCGCGGUGAAUACGUUCCCGGGCCUUGUACACACCGCCCGUCACACCAUGGGAGUGGAUCGCACCAGAAGUGGUUAGUCUAACCUUCGGGAGGACG